Molecule: non-coding RNA, 93 nt
Organism: Armillaria borealis
Lineage: Eukaryota; Fungi; Basidiomycota; Agaricomycetes; Agaricales; Physalacriaceae
Source: the annotation of a GenBank genome assembly
UCCCUCUUAGUUCAGUUGGUAGAGCGCGUCACUAGUAUAAAGAGGUUUCUUGAGGUUAUGACGAGGUCAGUCGUUCAAGUUGGCUAGAGGGAA